RNAcentral lists this ribosomal RNA (621 nucleotides) under Mycolicibacterium fortuitum. RNAcentral describes it as "bacterial SSU rRNA". It matches the Rfam family "Bacterial small subunit ribosomal RNA", at positions 132 to 769 of the family's 1533-position model. The record is from RNAcentral. Lineage: Bacteria; Bacillati; Actinomycetota; Actinomycetes; Mycobacteriales; Mycobacteriaceae.
GCUGAUUUGGGAAGCCUGGGAACUGGGUCUAAUACCGAAUAGGACCGCGGCAUUCAUGGGCUGUGGUGGAAAGCUUUUGCGGUGUGGGAUGGGCCCGCGGCCUAUCAGCUUGUUGGUGGGGUAAUGGCCUACCAAGGCGACGACGGGUAGCCGGCCUGAGAGGGUGACCGGCCACACUGGGACUGAGAUACGGCCCAGACUCCUACGGGAGGCAGCAGUGGGGAAUAUUGCACAAUGGGCGCAAGCCUGAUGCAGCGACGCCGCGUGAGGGAUGACGGCCUUCGGGUUGUAAACCUCUUUCAGUACCGACGAAGCGCAAGUGACGGUAGGUACAGAAGAAGGACCGGCCAACUACGUGCCAGCAGCCGCGGUAAUACGUAGGGUCCGAGCGUUGUCCGGAAUUACUGGGCGUAAAGAGCUCGUAGGUGGUUUGUCGCGUUGUUCGUGAAAACUCACAGCUUAACUGUGGGCGUGCGGGCGAUACGGGCAGACUGGAGUACUGCAGGGGAGACUGGAAUUCCUGGUGUAGCGGUGGAAUGCGCAGAUAUCAGGAGGAACACCGGUGGCGAAGGCGGGUCUCUGGGCAGUAACUGACACUGAGGAGCAAAAAGCGUGCGGAGU